ACGAAGCUUCGUUAUAUGAGAACCCGAAAUUAGUAUUACAAAUACAGAAUAAGGAUUUUAUUCAUCACAUUCAUCUAGCACCUACACAUUUCCACAUCCAUCUUACUCUUAAAUAAAUUGAUGGUGUUGGAAACACUCAUCAUAUGCCAACCAUCCCACUAAACACUCAUCAUAUGCCAACCAUCCCACUAAACACUCAUCAUUCCACUAAACACUCAUUAUUCCACACACUCAUCAUUCCACUAAACACUCUUUACACCUUCUUUUGCCAGCCAUCUUCUACACCUUUAACAUCUCAACAUGCAAUUAGCUUUUAUUUAAUCAAAAUCAGCAGCCAACAUUCCUCCCAUUCCUCCUAACAUUCUGAUCCAAGCUAUACGUUCUUAUGCUUGAAUUAUAAUUCACUGAUUCCAGCUUUCCAAAUCAGUUUCCAAGAUUUCCCAAAACAAGAAAGAGAUCCAAUUUUGGUGAAUUCAGAAAGAAGAUUUUCCUCAUUUCCUACUCAUAUCAAGGUCCGGGCGACAGAAAGUGAAGCAGAAGAAGAAACGAUUCCACGCCAGCUUUAAGAACAAUUGAGGUUGAGCAGGCGAUGGAAUGGAUUGGUGUUGAGCGGAUUUCCCUUUUGAUGUUUAUGUAAUGAAACCUUGAGUAUGCAUCUCCAUAUGCAUAACUCACACGUUUUUCCGCUGCAAACACUCUGAAUUUGUUAUCGUAUUGUGGAACUUAUUACUCCUUCAUUUUGUUUAACUUUCAUUUGGGGUUUAGUCGUUAUGGCUGGCUCAUUUGUUAAUUACCCAAGUGGUUAUAUAUAUAUAUACCACUAGUUUGUUGUUAUUAAUGUUGGUUAUUUAGUAAA
Long non-coding RNA from Salvia miltiorrhiza (redroot sage), 856 nucleotides. RefSeq lists it as uncharacterized. NCBI's taxonomy places the organism in Eukaryota, Viridiplantae, Streptophyta, Magnoliopsida, Lamiales, Lamiaceae. The record is from RefSeq and is a predicted model, not a curated record. The transcript is spliced from 4 exons.